This 129-nucleotide long non-coding RNA is filed under the name Monodelphis domestica (gray short-tailed opossum). Its description in RNAcentral is "lncRNA (ENSMODG00000030703.2)". The record is from RNAcentral. Lineage: Eukaryota; Metazoa; Chordata; Mammalia; Didelphimorphia; Didelphidae.
UCAUGAAUCUCCACAACACGUAGCUUGCUUUCCUGUUUUCAGAACUUGACAAACACCAGGAAGCAGCAACACCAUUUGCAAUGAAGAAUUGAAAAGGGGAUCGUACAUGAAAUCAUGAAUCUCCACAAC